GCACGGGUACUCAAGCGGUCGACGAGGCGUGGUUCAGGGCCACGUGGCUUAGUGCCUUCGGCGGUUCAAAUCCGCCCCCGUGCA
Molecule: transfer RNA, 84 nt
Filed under: Candidatus Iainarchaeum sp.
Lineage: Archaea; Nanobdellati; Candidatus Iainarchaeota; Candidatus Iainarchaeia; Candidatus Iainarchaeales; Candidatus Iainarchaeaceae
Description: tRNA-Leu
Source: RNAcentral